Molecule: ribosomal RNA, 1082 nt
Filed under: uncultured bacterium
Lineage: Bacteria
Description: bacterial SSU rRNA
Rfam family: Bacterial small subunit ribosomal RNA
Source: RNAcentral
GCGCAAGCUUGACGGAGCGACGCCGCUUGGAGGAGGAAGCCCUUCGGGGUGUAAACUCCUGAACCCGGGACGAAAUCCCCGAUGAGGGGGCUGACGGUACCGGGGUAAUAGCGCCGGCCAACUCCGUGCCAGCAGCCGCGGUAAUACGGAGGGCGCGAGCGUUACCCGGAUUUACUGGGCGUAAAGGGCGUGUAGGCGGCUUGGGGUGUCCCAUGUGAAAGACCACGGCUCAACUGUGGGGGAGCGUGGGAUACGCUCAAGCUAGACGGUGGGAGGGGGUGGUGGAAUUCCCGGAGUAGCGGUGAAAUGCGCAGAUACCGGGAGGAACGCCGAUAGCGAAGGCAGCCACCUGGUCCACUUGUGACGCUGAGGCGCGAAAGCGUGGGGAGCAAACCGGAUUAGAUACCCGGGUAGUCCACGCCCUAAACGAUGCGCGCUAGGUCUCUGGGUUUACUGGGGGCCGAAGCCAACGCGUUAAGCGCGCCGCCUUGGGAGUACGGCCGCAGGCUGAACUCAAAGGAAUUGACGGGGCCCGCACAAGCGGUGGAGCAUGUGGUCUAAUUCGAAGCAACUGCGAAGAACCCUUUACCAGGCCUUGACAUGCUGGGGAACUUAGGUGAAAGCCUGGGGUGCCUGCGAGGGAGCCCCAUGCACAGGUGCUGCAUGGCCGUCGUCAGCUCGUGUCGUGAGAUGUUGGGUUAAGUCCCGCCACGAGCGCAACCCCUGCUGUUAGUUGCCAGCGGUUUUAGCCGGGCACUCUAACGGGACUGCCUGCGAAAGCAGGAGGAAGGAGGGGACGACGUCUGGUCAGCAUGGCCCUUACGGCCUGGGCGACACACGUGCUACAAUGCCCACUACAGAGCGAGGCGACCCAGUGAUGGGGAGCGAAUCGCAAAAAGGUGGGCGUAGUUCGGAUUGGGGUCUGCAACUCGACCUCAUGAAGCCGGAAUCGCUAGUAAUCGCGGAUCAGCCAUGCCGCGGUGAAUACGUUCCCGGGCCUUGUACACACCGCCCGUCACGCCAUGGGAGCGGGUUCUACCCGAAGUCGCCGGGAGCCUUUGGGCAGGUCGCCGAGGGUAGGG